This is a small nuclear RNA of Pteronotus mesoamericanus, 161 nucleotides long. RefSeq annotates it as U1 spliceosomal RNA. The record is from RefSeq and is a predicted model, not a curated record. The transcript has a single exon. Lineage: Eukaryota; Metazoa; Chordata; Mammalia; Chiroptera; Mormoopidae.
ACACUUACCUGGCAGGGAAGAUACCAUGAUCCUGAAGGGGUUUUCCCAGGGCGAGGCUCACCCAUUGCAUUCCAUGUGCUGACCCCUGCAAUUUCUCCACAUGUGGGAAACUUGACUGCACAAUUUGUGGUAGUGGGGGACUGCGUUUGCACUCUCCCUUG